ACCCUUUUUAGUGUCCUCUGGAAACACUUCCGUUGUCGUUCUGUGGGAAAACCAUAUCAGAUACAAAGUAUUAUUCGAAGCACCGUAUUUUAUAUGUAUUAAAAACAUGUCUGGAGAGGACCUUCUUUGUCACAGUCCUCCAUGCUCUGGUAUACCAGUCGGCCAACCGCCGCCAUUUUGGAAGGUGCCGGAGCUUCCGUCACCACGUGAGGAGGAAGCGAGUGAGGAGAGAAGACGGAGCAAUCGAGCGGAGCGGCUGAAGCAGGCGAGCCAGGGCCGUCACUCAACUCUACUCGUCUUGACUACCCGGGCUAACUUUAGCUACAUGUGCUGAGGUCGAGGGGAAACUGAUCUCAACUGCAACAAUGCCGACAGUUACUUUACCGCCGAAAGAGAACGCUCUCUUCAAGAGGAUUUUGAGUAUGUGACUGAGCUUACGGACCUCCUCUUUAACGAGGUCAUCCAUGACCCUUCACGCUUUGUGGCUGAGAUGAAUGCAGUGGCUGUUCCUGGAUUCCUGUGCUCACAGUAUGAGUGACCUGAGAAAUCAGACGCAAUUGCUAGCCAUGUGUCCAGGCUCAGCUGUCCAGGUGGGGUGGAAAUAGCUCCAACACAUGGUGACUCAACACCCAUCUAACCCCACAACCCCUUCCCUAAUCAGCUGUUUUCUGCCAGCAUCUGUCAUCGUCUUCCUCCAGCAUAUCUGCCUGCCUCCUGCCUCGGUCCGUCCCUGCACUAGAGCCCCACCAGCCUCCAUGUUAAAAAAAGUUAAGUUGUGACAUACAUACAAACAUGUCAUUACUCAAAAACAGCUGUCCAAGACAUCUAUGAUAUUUAUUAAAAGUGUAUUGAAUGCAUAAUUGUGUACAUAACAAAUUACCAAACAAUUACAAUAUAAAAGACUUUAAAUUUAAAUGGGAGGUUUAAAGUCUGUGCUCCUGAUGAAUACGGAGUACAACACAAGAAGGUAUGACAACCCUGUUGUGCUUUCCCAGGUUUCUCCGGCACGACUGUAAUGACAAAAUAACAACAAAAUGUCACGUCAUGUUGGAAUUUUAUAUUUAUCUAGGUUUGCUUUGGGUCCGUGGUCUUCUUUCUGAUAAUUACAAUACAAACGGACACUGUGGAGUUGUUGUUAUCAAUAUCUGGUGUCUUUUUAGAACACUUAUGUUGACAGAUUAAUUCUCGCCAGCAGGUGGUGCUAUGAAUGUAAUAUUAAUAUGUCACAGCCAAGUGCCUGAAAAAUAUGCUUUGUUUAAUUUCUUCCAGUUCUACUCUGUCAGCAUUUUCAAGGAAUCGUCUCAGUAAAGAAGACAAUACACCUCUGCUUAGCUGCGCUCAUGUCGAACAGUGUGGGCAGAACAACCCCUCUGAAAGUAGUUAAGUUUAUGUCUUUGAUUGAUACAUUAAACAAAAACAGCCUUAGUCUUAUUUUUUUCCUUUUUUCCUUCCUUUCAGAACGGGACCCCAGAAGACGCCAGUUUGAGUCAUUAACCCGCAGUCUGCCUCAAAUCAUUUUGGCUGUAUGAAUCGACCAGGACAUAGACAGCAGUUGUUAUUUUUUUCCAGUGAUUUUCCACAACCAUCGAGCAAAAUUUUCAGAAUGAUUAUCCCAUUAAUGCAUGUUACUAAAUCUACAUUUAAUCGUUCCGGUAGUUUUGUGCUUUCUCGUCUCUUAUCUCUCCUUCUGUCGCUUUCAGCAGGUAUUUCUGCCUCAGGAGCUGCAGAGUCUGGAUCUGUGAUUGCUGGAACACUGCUGCUGUCUCUAUGGUGGAGAGGAGGUUGCGUGGCUCAGAUCCUACUUAGUGGGCAUCACCUGUAGCUGCGUAAUUGUCCUUCUGGAUCCAUCCAGAUCCUCUUCACUUAUGUUUUACAAUCUACAUUUUGUCAUCAUAAUUGUUUGUACUAUUUGUACAAACAAUACAUUUGUACAAACAAUACAUAUA
Long non-coding RNA from Siniperca chuatsi (mandarin fish), 1946 nucleotides. RefSeq lists it as uncharacterized. The record is from RefSeq and is a predicted model, not a curated record. The transcript has 3 exons. Lineage: Eukaryota; Metazoa; Chordata; Actinopteri; Centrarchiformes; Sinipercidae.